ACUGGAUCCAUUUUGAAAGGACUGUUUCCAGUUGGAAGAAACUUGAUUUGAACCAGCCAGCCACUUCUUCCUUGAAUAUUGUACCCAUCCCCACAGGCACUCAUGUGAAUGGACCCCUAGACAGGGACAUCGAUGAUUUCUACCUAAACCACAAUGUACAGAUAUCUUCCAAUCUAGUUAUUAGACAAUUAUGGGCACCAACUACCAAUGGGAUGAAUAUGGGAUCCUAAGCACUGAAAAGAAGAUCAGAUAAUCGGGUUAUCAACUGCAGUACAUGGAUAACAUAGUAGCAACAACUGAUGAAAGCUAUAACUGAGCUUGCUUCCUCCUCAGUGUGGGCAUUCUGGCCAUGCACAGUGAGGCAUGGCCAGAAGGAGCUGUGCAAGUUGCCACAUGUGGCAUGACUGACGGAAUCUGGGUCAGAAUGCAGAGUAAAAGU
RNAcentral lists this long non-coding RNA (439 nucleotides) under Mustela putorius furo (domestic ferret). RNAcentral describes it as "lncRNA (ENSMPUG00000026830.1)". Lineage: Eukaryota; Metazoa; Chordata; Mammalia; Carnivora; Mustelidae. The record is from RNAcentral.